UGGCGGACGGGUGAGUAAUGUCUGGAAACUGCCUGAUGGAGGGGGAUAACUACUGGAAACGGUAGCUAAUACCGCAUAACGUCGCAAGACCAAAGAGGGGGACCUUAGGGCCUCUUGCCAUCGGAUGUGCCCAGAUGGGAUUAGCUAGUAGGUGGGGUAAAGGCUCACCUAGGCGACGAUCCCUAGCUGGUCUGAGAGGAUGACCAGCCACACUGGAACUGAGACACGGUCCAG
Molecule: ribosomal RNA, 234 nt
Filed under: uncultured bacterium
Lineage: Bacteria
Description: partial 16S ribosomal RNA
Rfam family: Bacterial small subunit ribosomal RNA
Source: RNAcentral